RNAcentral lists this long non-coding RNA (409 nucleotides) under Medicago truncatula (barrel medic). Its description in RNAcentral is "lncRNA gene30980". The stretch from base 1 to 82 matches the Rfam family "Small nucleolar RNA R160". Lineage: Eukaryota; Viridiplantae; Streptophyta; Magnoliopsida; Fabales; Fabaceae. The record is from RNAcentral.
AGCAAAAUGAUGAAGUAAUUUUGUGUCUGAAACUGAUGUAGAUCUCUUGUUUCAUACAUGCCUUCAAAGUUCUCUGAUUGCUUUGCUAGUUUUAUAUAUUUUGAUUGUUUAAUUCAACCUUUCGUUUGCGUCCUCUUUAUAUUAGUUUGAGGUUUCAAUUUCUGUUUUUUUAUUUAUUUAUAAAAAUUUAGUUUAUGUUAUAUGAAGCACGGAUACAGCAGGGACACCGACACACCAACACCGCUAAUAAUUUAUGUAAUUAAACGUGUUGGUGUUGGAUACUCAUACAUGCCUAAUCUGAGGCUGUGUCUUUGGUUUUUCUUGAAAGCAGAGCAAAAUGAUGAGGUUUUAAGAUCUGAAUAUCAUGUGGAUUCCUAAUUGAAAUGGUCUUCAAAGUUUUCUGAUUACU